This 788-nucleotide ribosomal RNA is filed under the name uncultured bacterium. RNAcentral's name for it is "bacterial SSU rRNA". It matches the Rfam family "Bacterial small subunit ribosomal RNA", at positions 31 to 813 of the family's 1533-position model. The record is from RNAcentral.
GAACGCUGGCGGCAGGCUUAACACAUGCAAGUCGAGCGGGGAAAGGUAGCUUGCUACUGGACCUAGCGGCGGACGGGUGAGUAAUGCUUAGGAAUCUGCCUACUAGUGGGGGACAACAUUUCGAAAGGAAUGCUAAUACCGCAUACGUCCUACGGGAGAAAGCAGGGGACCUUCGGGCCUUGCGCUAAUAGAUGAGCCUAAGUCGGAUUAGCUAGUUGGUGGGGUAAAGGCCUACCAAGGCGACGAUCUGUAGCGGGUCUGAGAGGAUGAUCCGCCACACUGGGACUGAGACACGGCCCAGACUCCUACGGGAGGCAGCAGUGGGGAAUAUUGGACAAUGGGGGGAACCCUGAUCCAGCCAUGCCGCGUGUGUGAAGAAGGCCUUAUGGUUGUAAAGCACUUUAAGCGAGGAGGAGGCUACUAGUAUUAAUACUACUGGAUAGUGGACGUUACUCGCAGAAUAAGCACCGGCUAACUCUGUGCCAGCAGCCGCGGUAAUACAGAGGGUGCGAGCGUUAAUCGGAUUUACUGGGCGUAAAGCGUGCGUAGGCGGCCAUUUAAGUCAAAUGUGAAAUCCCCGAGCUUAACUUGGGAAUUGCAUUCGAUACUGGAUGGCUAGAGUAUGGGAGAGGAUGGUAGAAUUCUAGGUGUAGCGGUGAAAUGCGUAGAGAUCUGGAGGAAUACCGAUGGCGAAGGCAGCCAUCUGGCCUAAUACUGACGCUGAGGUACGAAAGCAUGGGGAGCAAACAGGAUUAGAUACCCUGGUAGUCCAUGCCGUAAACGAUGUC